This is a long non-coding RNA of Ictalurus punctatus (channel catfish), 575 nucleotides long. The record is from Ensembl. Lineage: Eukaryota; Metazoa; Chordata; Actinopteri; Siluriformes; Ictaluridae.
UUAUCAAGAGGUGUGGCUAUCAGGAGGCAUAGUUAACAGGAGUUGGGGUUAUCAGUGGGUGUGGAUAUCAGGGGGUGUAGUUAAUGAAGGUGUGGAUAUCAGGGGGUGUGGUUAUCAAAAGAUGUGGUUUUCAGGAGGCAUAGUUAACAAGGGGUGUGGUUAUCAAGAGGUGUGGCUAUCAGGAGGCAUAGUUAACAGGAGGUGUGGUUAUCGGGGUGUGGCUAUCAGGAGGAAUAGUUAACAGGGGGUGUGGCUAUCAGGAGGCAUAGUUAACAGGGGGUGUGGCUAUCAGGAGGCAUAGUUAACAGGAGGUGUGGUUAUCAGGGGGUGUGUCUAUCAGGAGGAAUGGUUAACAGGGGGUGUGGCUAUCAGGAGGCAUAGUUAACAGGGGGUGUGGCUAUCAGGAGGCAUAGUUAACAGGAGGUGUGGCUAUCAGGGGGUGUGGUUAUCAGGGGGUGUGGCUAUCAGGAGGCAUAGUUAACAGGAGGUGUGGCUAUCAGGGGGUGUGGUUAUCAGUUAAUAGUGGGAGUAACGGAUCAUCCCAUAAUAACAUUAAAUAUUCAUUAACCUUUUAU